GGCCCGCUUUGGCACUAGCACAUUUUUGCUUUGCUUUAUGUGUUUUGAGCAAUUAUGUGUAGUGCCAAUAUGGGAGAAGGCGGAGA
This is a microRNA precursor of Chrysolophus pictus (golden pheasant), 86 nucleotides long. The record is from Ensembl. NCBI's taxonomy places the organism in Eukaryota, Metazoa, Chordata, Aves, Galliformes, Phasianidae.